UGGUAUAUUUACAUUUCACGUAGGUCACUCUAGGAUCCAACCUACGCUCUCUUCGUUGCCUUUAUUAACCUCUGAGAUGUGAUAAGUUUAUGUUUUGCUGUAGGCCUACAUUUACUAUAGCCUACUGACGUAAGACUCACAGGUGGGCAAAGUGCGGCACGACAGUAAUUUAUUUAUUUUUUUUUUUGCGGCCCGCGAUAUAAAAGCCUUAUGUGUGCGGGACCGCCAACCAUCUAUGAAACGCCUAGUUUUUACGGCCCGACACCGAUCAUCUAUAAAAGUAAUAUUAAAAAGAAGAAUAAAAUCAUAUAAAGGCAGUGCAUGAAGGUUUUUUGGACUGGAACCAUCAACAUUUUGGUGCUUUCACCGUUUGGGCUUUUGACCGAUUUUUGUGCCCACAACUGCCCUAAAUUCAUAAGUAACGUAAACAGAAACGGAAGCGUUCGUGUAAUAGUGCACAUUGUGCAAAUAAUAUUAUUUGAUUGAACACAAUUACACUGUGGAAAGUUUUGUUACUAAAACGAGAGAUUUAGAACGUGGGCGUUGGUAUUCGACAAAAGAAGUACAGGAAGCUUACGGUAUGCAUCUCCUACAUUAAUCAAGUUUAUAUAAUGGCUUAUUAUGAAAUUAGUAAUCCCGAUGCUAUGAUUCAAUAUUCAGACGUCUUGUGUAUAUUUAGAAGGAUACAAUAAUUAUUCUUUGAACUAAAUUUGAAUUUUGAACUAAGCAUUCUUUGAUAAAAUUUAAAAACUCUGAAAUUAUCUUGGCUUAUUAUGAAAUCGCUCAAAUAAUAAUUUCUGGCAUUUACAAUCUCCAAUAAUGCGAUGCCCAGAUCAAAAUAAAUGUAUGUUCUGGUAAUUAAAA
Molecule: long non-coding RNA, 864 nt
Organism: Anneissia japonica
Lineage: Eukaryota; Metazoa; Echinodermata; Crinoidea; Comatulida; Comatulidae
Exons: 3
Source: RefSeq, a predicted model, not a curated record